UGUCUCCGUUGGUGAACCAGCGGAGGGAUCAUUACCGAGUUUUCAACUCCCUAACCCUUCUGUGAACCUACCUAUCGUUGCUUCGGCGGACUCGCCCCAGCCCGGACGCGGACUGGACCAGCGGCCCGCCGGGGACCUCAAACUCUUGUAUUCCAGCAUCUUCUGAAUACGCCGCAAGGCAAAACAAAUGAAUCAAAACUUUCAACAACGGAUCUCUUGGCUCUGGCAUCGAUGAAGAACGCAGCGAAACGCGAUAAGUAAUGUGAAUUGCAGAAUCCAGUGAAUCAUCGAAUCUUUGAACGCACAUUGCGCCCGCCAGCAUUCUGGCGGGCAUGCCUGUUCGAGCGUCAUUUCAACCCUCGACCUCCCCUUGGGGGGGUCGGCGUUGGGGACCGGCAGCACACCGCCGGCCCUGAAAUGGAGUGGCGGCCCGUCCGCGGCGACCUCUGCGCAGUAAUACAGCUCGCACCGGAACCCCGACGCGGCCACGCCGUAAAACACCCAACUUCUGAACGUUGACCUCGAAUCAGGUAGGACUACCCGCUGAACUUAAGCAUAUCAAUAAGCGGA
Molecule: ribosomal RNA, 570 nt
Filed under: Beauveria bassiana
Lineage: Eukaryota; Fungi; Ascomycota; Sordariomycetes; Hypocreales; Cordycipitaceae
Description: eukaryotic LSU rRNA
Rfam family: 5.8S ribosomal RNA (bases 197-350)
Source: RNAcentral